UGCGCAGUGCGGUCUGCCGCCUCGGUUUGGUCGCUAAGUAACCUCUCGCUACUUUAAAUUUAAGUAUAAUUUCUUACCUUAGUGAGUAGGCGACCUUGGCGGAACUGGAUCUUCCCAGCUCUCCUGAGAAUGUAACGAUGUUGAGCCUGAUUCGAGAACAAUUUCUUUGAGCUUCAACUGACUGUAACGCUAGUUGGAGCCUGUUCUUGCCAACAGUAGAGCAUCAACGCAGCCUGAUAUAUAGCGACUGCUGUGUAAUUUACAUUGCGUAGAGGAGCCUAAGGAGGCCAGAGGAACCAGAGCCCCUGGAUCCGGAGCUGCAGUCUCCAGUUGUUGGUCUGGUGGGGGCAGAAGCAAAAUGGGAUCACACACGCAAGGAGGACUCGACACCUUCCAAGAGUCCCCAAUUGGAUGUUGGAUGUCCAGAAUCCAAAUGAAAGAUCUAGGGAUGAAGCAGACAGAGCCCUGCUAGUGAUGGCUGGACCCUCUGCCACCAAGCUGGAGCCCAGCCCUUCGAACUGUGGUUUUGGCAUGACUUCUCUGUGUCAGUGGACAUGGGAAAGGACUGGCAGAUGGUGACAGGACUGACCCUUUUGAUAAGAGAAGAAAGAAAGCAGAUGACUCUCUGGUGUAGCCUUGACUGUCCAGUAAGUGGGAUCCGUUGGGUGAAGUGCUGAGACAGAGGAAGGAAUUGCAGACUGCUGCCUGCAACACAUACAUCUGUAGAGAUUCAGAAUAAACCACCCGAAGUGGGCGGCCACCGGGACACACACCUUUAAUUCCAGCACUCUGGAGGCAGAGGCAGGCGGUAAGGCCAACCUGGUCUACACUGCUAGUUCCAGGACAGCCAAAGCUACACAGAGAAACCCUGUCUCAAAAACAGAAUGUAAUAAAACAAAAGUAAACAAAUAAAUAAAAUUUAAAUUAUUUAGAAGCUAGUCAUGGUGGUGAAUGUCUUUAACCCCUUUAACCCUGGCACUGGAGGCAUAAGAACCUCUGUAGUAGAAUCGGAGGUGCGCUGCACCAUGCUUGGUCCUCUGUGUUCCUUUACAAAUACUAUUCAGCAUUCAUGAUUCAGAUACUGUCCUCUGAUAACCCAUCUUUUGUCUGUUAACUUGAAACACACACAUCCUCUCAGAUGAUAACCUUUUUCUCUCCAGCACAUUCAAGAGGACAUUAAAGCUGAGUCGACCUUCUGGAGAAUGGGGUAAUUCUAGACUUGUGGUUGGAGAGAAGAGAAAAGGAGGGAAAUACUGAACAAACGUGUGGGCGUGGUAACAAGCACCUGUAAUGCCAGCACUCAGGAGGCUGAGGCGGGCAGAUGGCGAGCUCCAGGACAGCAGGAGUUAUUUAUGUAACCAGAAGCUGUUCCGCUAAGACCAAGACCCCAUGGACAACCUUAGUGAAGAUGCCAGUGGAGUAACUCAGGACACUGCAGGGUGACACUGGCUACGGUAAUGAUAAAGGUUAAUUAGACCUGGGUUCUAUUCUCAACACGAGCACAGGCAUGCAUGAGUGCAUACAUGCACAUGGUGGCUUGCAACCAUUGGUACCUCCACUUGCAGGUGAUUAGAUGCUUUCUUGUGACCUCCUCAGGCUCCUGCUCACAUGUGCUGCACACACAUAGUAUAUUCAGGCACGCAUGCGCGCGCACACACACACAGAGUUUAAAAAUGGAAAGAUAAUCUAAAGCAAUAAUCAGAGCCUUCCCUGGCAUUGGGCUGACCCCAGUCCCUCUCCUAUGUGUCUCCCUCAUCUCCUCAUGCUGACUCGUGAUUGCUAAUCUCACUCUCUUUCUACUUCAACUUCAGACCUCCCAGGUAGGGACCCUCAUCCACCCAACAGGGCCUUAAUAAGGAUAUGUUGACCAGGGGCCCUACUGUGCUACUCAGGGAAGAGCUGAUGCACAGAACCACUACAGUAAGAGAGAAGUUAGGCUGAGGAGGUAGUGGAACUAGACGGACAGACAGAAAUGUGAGGGGGUUGGACACAUGCAUGGAUGGAUGGAUCUGCCCACCCAUCUAACCAAUCACCCAUCCGUCCACCCACCCAUCCACCCAUCCAUCAUUUUCUGAGUGUAUGUUUUGGCCCAGAGCUUGUGUUGGGCACCCAAUGAGUAGUAUGUCAUUCCUGCCCUUGGGAUGGUCACUCUAGAUGCCAGGUAGCUGUGGGAUGGAUGGUCACCCCGAGAAUACUUGAGGUGGUUUCGGAGCACGAAUGCCAUAUAUGCAAACGUUUUUGGGGCUGGAGAGAUGGGCCAGUGGUUA
This 2267-nucleotide small RNA is filed under the name Rattus norvegicus (Norway rat). RNAcentral's name for it is "uncharacterized LOC108351302". The record is from RNAcentral. Lineage: Eukaryota; Metazoa; Chordata; Mammalia; Rodentia; Muridae.